AUUGAACGCUGGCGGCAUGCUUUACACAUGCAAGUCGAACGGCAGCACGAAGGAGCUUGCUCUUUUGGUGGCGAGUGGCGAACGGGUGAGUAAUGCAUCGGAACGUACCGAGUAAUGGGGGAUAACUGUCCGAAAGGAUAGCUAAUACCGCAUACGCUUUGAGAAGGAAAGUGGGGGCUCUUCGGACCUCACGUUAUUCGAGCGGCCGAUGUCUGAUUAGCUAGUUGGUGGGGUAAAGGCCUACCAAGGCGACGAUCAGUAGCGGGUCUGAGAGGAUGAUCCGCCACACUGGGACUGAGACACGGCCCAGACUCCUACGGGAGGCAGCAGUGGGGAAUUUUGGACAAUGGGCGCAAGCCUGAUCCAGCCAUGCCGCGUGUCUGAAGAAGGCCUUCGGGUUGUAAAGGACUUUUGUUAGGGAAGAAAAGGAUAGUGUUAAUACCAUGAUCUGCUGACGGUACCUAAAGAAUAAGCACCGGCUAACUACGUG
This 490-nucleotide ribosomal RNA is filed under the name uncultured bacterium. RNAcentral describes it as "partial 16S ribosomal RNA". It matches the Rfam family "Bacterial small subunit ribosomal RNA", at positions 30 to 507 of the family's 1533-position model. The record is from RNAcentral.